UACGUAGGGGGCAAGCGUUGUCCGGAUUUAUUGGGCGUAAAGCGCUCGUAGGCGGUCUGUUGCGUCCGCUGUGAAAACCCGGGGCUUAACCCCUGGCUUGCAGUGGAUACGGACAGACUAGAGGUAGGUAGGGGAGAAUGGAAUUCCCGGUGUAGCGGUGAAAUGCGCAGAUAUCGGGAGGAACACCGGUGGCGAAGGCGGUUCUCUGGGCCUUACCUGACGCUGAGGAGCGAAAGCGUGGGGAGCGAACAGG
Molecule: ribosomal RNA, 253 nt
Filed under: uncultured bacterium
Lineage: Bacteria
Description: partial 16S ribosomal RNA
Rfam family: Bacterial small subunit ribosomal RNA
Source: RNAcentral